This is a non-coding RNA of Chlorocebus sabaeus (green monkey), 4645 nucleotides long. The record is from RefSeq and is a predicted model, not a curated record. NCBI's taxonomy places the organism in Eukaryota, Metazoa, Chordata, Mammalia, Primates, Cercopithecidae.
GCUGUGGGGUAGAGCAGAGCAGCACAGAAGGGAGAGGGGGUCAGUGGCUGCAGUCCCUGCGUGCAGCACAGCUGGCAGAAGGCUGCCGAGUCCCAGGCUGGGAUGCGGACGAUGAGGAAGCUUUAGACCUGGGCUGGUGGGACAGAGACGGGGCCACUCUGGGUGCUGUCCUCAAGAGUGGAGAAAGGCAGUCAAGUACACUUGCCUCUCGCCAGCACCAGCCACCGUGUCGCCUUGCUGGCUUGUUUGCAGGGGAGGGACAGCUGGGAGGGUUCUGGUCAAGUGUGUGAAGACGUGACCAGUCCCCACAUCUCCAACCACUGCAGACGCUUGUUCCUGCAGGAGCGACCGCUCCACGCCUUUCUAGCUUCUGGAACCCCAGGCAUCUCUGGGCUGUUCCCUGGGGCCUUGAGAGCCACCUUUCUCGUCCUUUCCUUCGUCGUCACGGGGUCUAAAUCUGUAUCUCUCACCUGCAGCAUCUGGGCAGGACCCCCACACAUCCCGGCCUCUGCACACCAGAUUCCGGUGGUACCCCCACCCAGCUGUGACUGCCAACACCAUCCCGGACAUUGCUGAGUGGUCCCCGGGGGCAGAAGUGCCCCUGGUUGAGAGCAACUGCCCUACCGAAGGAGGUGCAAGCCAGGGAACAGAGGACCGGGCAAAAGCGGGUGCUGUUUGGAACUCAGAGGGCCUGGAGAAGGCGUUCAGGACCCCCGGGGCCUCCACUGGGGCAUCCUGAGGGCAGGCACUAGGCCACCGAAUGAACCCGCAGCUUCCCAGGUAUCCGGGGCCUGAAAGGUGUGAGGACAUUUCUGCACUGCAAAGGGUUGCUCCCAUCAUGAGUUAGUGAACAACUUUCUCAUUUAUGCGUCAGUCUCCUGUUGAGUCUGGCUAACAGGGAGUGGUCUUGGGGAGACCCAUCAGAGGCAGCGACCAGACAGGGUCCUGCAGUCCUGGGAAGCGGCACCUGCAUUGUUCCCUGGGAGGCAGCUGGUAGCCUUCGUGGGGGGCACUGACUGCAUCCCCAGAGUGCAGAGAGAUCAAUGAAGACAACACUCGAGUCAGAAAUCAAUGUUUACUGCAGAGAACACAGAAGCCAGCAAGCAGCAGGGAAGGGAGGCGUCGCAGCGAGCAUAUCGGGCAGGCUGGGAACCAGCGCAGUGGCCCACGCGGACCGAGGAGGACACACAGAGCAAGUCACAGGAAGCGCAGCUGAAAACAGACGCUUAUCCCAGAUGCACAGGACACUUACCAAAUGUCUCAGAGUCAUGCUCAACAGCUUUGGCUGGCAGGACAGUUAAAGUUUUGGACAACAGAAAGUAACAGUGGGAAAGGGGACAUCUGCCCCAACAUGAGAGGCCAAGACCACAGCUGUUACAGGAGGGGUCAGUGCCGUAGUACACGGGUGGCAGUGGCUGCACAUGCGUGCCUGGGGAAUGAGAGUGUUCGGACAUACCAGGUGCCCAGCCUGGGGAAUGAGAGUGUUCGGACAUGCCAGGUGUCCAGCCUCACCAGGAAACAGGCACACGGGGACAGAGGUGCAAACACUGAAAACUCUCGCUGAAUCCACUCGCCUGAGUGGUGGCCACGGGAGCACGGUGCUGCACUCCCCACAAACCUGAACCUGGGCCCCAGGGCGAGAGGCAUGGAAGGUGCAGGGGUGCACGGGUGUGGGUAGGGGCUGCCAGCUCAGAGGUGUGUCCAGGAACCCCCAUCAGGCCGGAGCCCUGUCCUGAGCCGCCCGCAGGGGUGACUGCGGGACAGCAGUGUUAGGCCCGGUCUUGGCUGUGAGGUCGCUCCCACUCCAUACACGACCCUGGGAUUCUGUCAAGGUGGGGGCCGUCUGCUCGGCCCGGGCUCCCUGACCAUGUGGCUGGGUUUGUGGAGGAAACCAGGAGAGUGCCAACACCAGGCUCUGUAAGCACGAGGCUCCCUGCUGGCCCCAUCCCAGAGUGCACCCCAUCCUUCCUGCAUCCCUGGGCUCAGCUGUUCCUCACUGACCUCAGAGACACCCUGCCCUGCCCCAGCUCCACAGGAGCCCUGCCCACCACUACCUCAGCUCUGAGUCUCCUCUGGGGACACGGCCUUUCUCCUGGUGCAGAGGCGCAGGACGCUGCCCCCAAGGCCCAUCUCCCUCUGCAGCAUGUUUUGAUGUCAGCUUAUUCACAGGAAAGAAACAGUCAUAUCUCAGUGCCCCAAAUGGGGACCAAUAGGAGAGGUCACUGGGAAUGAAGUCCGGGUACAGUCCGGGGUCCAUGGGCUCUCCAGAAACGCAGGCGGACCCCACCAGAGCCAACAAGCCUCAGUCGCUGAUCGGCCCCUCCCUGCUUCCCCGUGUCCAAGAGGAAACAGAGGCCCAGAUGAGGAGGGCUGGCUGGCUGCAUCCCCAGACCUCUGGUCCCAGGGCUGGCUGGCAGCGCCCCUCCCCCUGCUCACUUCCUGCUCUCCUGAGAAAUGGCUCAGGGAUGCGGCCUGUGGGGACAGAUGCUGGCAUAGCUCACAAAAUGCUUGCACAAGGGACACUCCAUGGCACGUCCCUGCAGCCGAGCAAAGUCACAACAUUUGAGGUACUCUGCACUCUGAGGCCCACAGAGCUCGGCUGGCCAAGUGAGGCUGGGAGGAUGGUGCCCGCUGGUCAGGGCAGGUGAGUGAGGCUGGGAGGAUGGUGCCCGCUGGUCAGGGCAGGUGAGUGAGGCUGGGAGGAUGGUGCCUGCUGGUCAGGGCCACCCUCUGGUCUGGGUGGCUGAGCAAGGCUGAAAGGAUAGUGCCUGCUGGUCAGGGUGGCCGCGUGAGACUGGGAGGGUGGUGCCCGCUGGUCAGGGUGGCCAAGAGAGGCUGGGAGGAUGGUGUCUGCUGGUCAGGGUGGCCCAGGAGGUGCUGUCCAGGUGGAGCCCGGGGCUGGUGUGGGUGCACCAUGCUCCUGAGAAGUUUCUGGGUUGUGGCUUUGAUGUUAUUCUGUAAUGAGAACGCUGACACUUGGCUGAAGGGUCCUCACGUCUCCCCCAGUACACUCCUGAGAUGCCAGGAAGGUUCUGAACAUUAGGGUGAUUCCUGGGACUCCCUUCAGGGUGGCCUCACUGGAGUCAGGAGCCCGUGCCCUGCGCCCACUGCCCCAUUAGGAUGGCUCUGCAGUGGCCUGAGGACAGUGAACACUGGGGUCACUGGUGGAAAGUUGCCCACUGUGAUGGUUUUGACCUCUGAAGAUGUUUGGGAGCCAAGUGAAUGCCUGGGAGCUAUUUCUAGGCAUUUCAGAGGGUGCUUCCCUGCACGUACCCUGCCGCACACCGCCCUCCCCAGGCCAGGCGCCUGCUGCACAGAAGGAGGUUCCUUUUCUUCUCUUCCGAACGCUUUUCUUCUCCUUUUCUUAAUCUCUGCUCCUCCUCUGAACUGAGGAAUGUGCGAAUCUUUUUUAGGUUGCUUCUUAUGCAUAUUUGAUCUGGAACUUCCUGCUUUGGGGGUGAUCUGCUCUACCAGCCUGAAAAGGACGAGAAAUAUCUUCUGAGUACAUAGGAAGUGUGGUUAUUACCUGGUUCCUCUGUUGGUAAAGACCACACUAUGAAAGCAAGAGAAUGGCUUGGGUUGAGUGGAAACAGGCACCUGCGGGCAAUGGAGGCCAGGGUUGGGGGCGGGGGGCCUCGAGAUCAGUGGGGGGUGUGGAAGUGGGUGUGAACCCGUGCACCCCAGGGCUGGAUGGCACCAGGUUCAUAAGGAAGUGCUUCCUGUUUUCUAAAAACGUUGAGGAAGGGGGGAGGGUGUCAGAUGUGUAAGCUGAGUGUACAUGACAUGAUCCUUUAAACCGUGCUAGAGCAAAUGCCCACUCACCCUCCAUCCGGUUUCAGAGCGAGAUGCCACCCAGGGGCCCGUGCCCUGUGCCUGCCCCUCCCUCCUGAGUUCCCUAUGAACCAUGCUUUUGCUUUUCUCUGCAGUUCGACCACGUGUCCCCAAACACCACACUGUUUAGUUUUGCUUGGUUUUGAACUUCGCGGUAGUUAAAAUAGAACCGUGUGUCUUCUGUGCCUUACAUUCUCUGCUCAGCAUUGUAUCUGACACGCACAGGUGCUGACGUGGUCCUGGCUGGCUGUGCAGUCACUGCGCCAACAGCUUCCCUUGACCAACAGACCAUGAUUUACCCGCUUCGCUACCCACAGGCAUUUGGGUUCUUUCCGGCUUUCCUGACAGUGCAUGCCGUGAAUGUUGUCGUCUCUGGCUGCGUGCACAAACGUUUCUCACGGGGAAGUAAACAGUGGCUCCUGGGGCAGCAGAAAUGCACAUCUUUGCCUUUGCCAGAAAACGCCAGGCUGCUCUCCAGACUGUGCUGCCGCCCAGUGCCACAGCAGCAGAUGAGGACUCCGGCCCGUCCCGUGCAAGGAUCAGAAUCAGACUUGGCCGUCUUUACCACACUGUGGGGCACAAACUUGCAUCUCUUUGUUGUUUUAACUUGUGUUCCCUGAUUUUUAAUGAGAUUGGGCAUGUUUUCAGGCAUUUAUGAGCCAUGGAUUUUUCUUCUUCUGUGAUGUUUGCCCAUUUUUCUUUUCUAGAGAUGGAGUCUCGUUGCAUUAUUCAGGCUGGUCCUGAGCUCCUGUUGUAGGCCAUUUUUCUAUUUAGAUAUUUGUCUUUAAAAAUCCUGGUUCCUAUGACUGCUACA